This 326-nucleotide ribosomal RNA is filed under the name uncultured eukaryote. RNAcentral describes it as "partial 18S ribosomal RNA". It matches the Rfam family "Eukaryotic small subunit ribosomal RNA", at positions 1470 to 1796 of the family's 1831-position model. The record is from RNAcentral.
CCCUUAGAUGUUCUGGGCCGCACGCGCGCUACAAUGAUGCAGGCAACGAGUUCCGCUCCUUAGCCGAAAGGCUUGGGGAAUCUUGAAAACUGCAUCGUGCUAGGGAUAGAUGAUUGCAAUCGUGCAUCUUGAACGAGGAAUGCCUUGUAAGCGUGAGUCAUCAACUCGCGCUGAAUACGUCCCUGCCCUUUGUACACACCGCCCGUCGCUCCUACCGAUUGGAUGGUCCGGUGAACUGGUCGGACUGCUGUUUGAAAUUGCGGGUGCAGUUGAUUCACGGGAAGUCUAGUAAACCUUAUCAUCUAGAGGAAGGAGAAGUCGUANCA